RNAcentral lists this ribosomal RNA (403 nucleotides) under uncultured bacterium. RNAcentral describes it as "partial 16S ribosomal RNA". It matches the Rfam family "Bacterial small subunit ribosomal RNA", at positions 30 to 526 of the family's 1533-position model. The record is from RNAcentral.
AUUGAACGCUAGCGGGAUGCUUUACACAUGCAAGUCGAACGAGUGGCGGACGGGUGAGUAAUGUAUGGGGACUGCCCGAUAGAGGGGGAUAACUACUGGAAACGGUAGCUAAUACCGCAUACUAUCGGAUAACCCAUAUGGGAUUAGCUAGUGGGUGGGGUAAUGGCUCACCUAGGCGACGAUCCCUAGCUGGUCUGAGAGGAUGACCAGCAACACUGGGACUGAGACACGGCCCAGACUCCUACGGAGGCAGCAGUGGGGAAUAUUGCACAAUGGGCGCAAGCCUGAUGCAGCCAUGCCGCGUGUAUGAAGAAGGCCCUAGGGUUGUAAAGUACUUUCAGUCGGGAGGCGUUACCGACAGAAGAAGCACCGGCUAACUCCGUGCCAGCCGCCGCGGUAAUUC